Molecule: long non-coding RNA, 799 nt
Filed under: Olea europaea subsp. europaea
Lineage: Eukaryota; Viridiplantae; Streptophyta; Magnoliopsida; Lamiales; Oleaceae
Source: RNAcentral
UCUGAAUAAACUUUCUAAAUAAAUUUUCUGGGAAAAAAAAGACACAACCAGGAAUUUUCUAAAUAAAUUUUGGAGCACUAGAUUGUAUCCAUAUUAUUUAUAUUCUAAUAUAUAACUCCAAAUCUUUGUGACAUGCCAAUAAUUUGAUUCACCACCAAUUUUCAAAAGGCGCAGCCAGGAAAAAAAUGCUCAUCGUUAUUGAUACUCUACCAGACUCUAGAAUGCUUUAUAACUUCAAGAAAUGAAAAUUUAUUAGCUACUAAUUGAUGUUGUUCAAAAAGAAUUGUUCUCCUCCCAACUUUGACAAGCAGCAACUUGAAUCAAAACAAGUUCCAAAGAUUGAAGAAAGGGAGAAUAAAGCAACUUUCUUAUAUAUUGGAAGAAUUCCACAUGGAUUUUAUGAGAAUGAAAUGGAAGGUUUCUUCAAGCAAUUUGGUACAAUCAAAAGACUCAGAAUAGGAAGGAAUAGGAAGACAGGGAAAUCGAGGCAUUUUGGAUUCGUUGAAUUUGAAUCUCCUGAGGUUGGAAAAGUUGUUUCAGAAUUCAUGCAUAACUACUAAUUGUUUGAGCAUCCGGUGCAAGUUCUGCUUGUUCCUACUGAGUGUGUUCAUCCAAAACUAUGGAAAGGUAUGACGCACUGGUACAAACCCUUGGAUUGGGUUAAAAUUGUAAAAGGAGUCAUCAUGAUAAGGAAAGGACUUUGGAAGAGCACAAGAAGUUGGUAGAAAUAAUUAUGAAAACGGACCAAAGAAGGCAAAAGAGGAUUGGGGCCUCUGGUAUUGAUUAUGAUUGUCCAGAA